AGACUCUCCCACCAGUGGAAACAUCCUCUCCACAUCCACUCUUUCCAGGCCUUUCACUAUUCAGUAAACUAAAAUGGUGCUCCUUCAACCUACGGUAAUUAAUCGAUCAUGUUGGAAGAAUGAACAAACAUGCUUCAAGGGGUCCUCAGUUUUAUGAAGAUGCAUAUGUUGACAGUUCUGGCAAGGGAGUUGUGAACCUUACUCAGGUGAUGGGUCACAAUAUUAAAGGAUAACAACUACAAGAGAAGAUUAGAAGUUGUCUAACCUGUGGUAAUUAUUUCACCUCUUGACAUUUCUAAGUCUUUUCAUCAUCUACUAGACAAAAAUCGGGAAUGCGCUGGAAUACUCUCCACUUGCCAGGAUGAGUACGGCAAGAAGCCCAACAGCAUCCAGGCCAAAGCCAAAUGUUAGAUUCACACAAUAAAUAUUCCUUCCCUUAAUUGCCAGCCCAUUCUUGUUGCAGUGUGCAUCAUCCACAAAAUGCUCUUCAGUUACUCACCCAGUCUAUUUUGACAAAACCUCCUACUAGGAAAGACAUAAACAGAUGCAUAAGAUGCAUAGGAACAAUAUCAUCUGCCGGAUCUCCAAGUCUCAUUUCUGCCUGGUUUUGAAAUGUACUGUCGACCUUUCAACAUCACAUCUCAAGGGUAAUAAAUGCUGACUUUGCCUAAAAUAUAUAUAUGUUUUUAAGUUCUUCAUUUUCCAUGCCCAUUUUUUGGGCUGCAAUGUAUUGGUUACUUUGGGAGGUAAGUGCUUAAUAUUUUCUUGUUUGAGAGAGUAACUAUAGUUAAGGACAUGAAUUACCACUUCAGUCUCCUGAAAUUUGAUUGAUUGCCUUCAGGAGGUGGAAUGGAAUAUCCCAGAGAUUGUUUUCCUGUAUCCAAAUAAAUAUUUUCACUCUGGCUUUUGUGUCCCUCCUAAGAGAUUUUAUGAUUGAUGGUGCUUGUAAUCAGCACCUUGUCUGGAUCCGACAGACUGGAUGGACUCGUUUUUUGAUGCUGUUUUUAGAUAUUGCUAUGUGCAGUUCAGCUGAUUCUUCAUUGGCAAAUCAUUACACUAUAGUAGCUGGAAUUCCACACCUGGAUGGCAGAAUGUUCCAGAAAUCUUCACGUUAAUCACAUUGUCAUCUUAUCUGUUUACUGUGUGAGUAAAGUUAUCGAGGUAGAGUAUAGGCAGUGAGUAGAUCAAACAUUAUGUUUGCAUAAAGAGCUGAAAAGCAAUGAAUGAUUCUGGAAUUUGACCAGAUUUUGUGUACACGCACUUUAUGUGCAGUAUGUAGAUGAUGCAAUGAUGCAGACAGAAACAUUAUAAUGGAAAUCAAAUGAUGCAGGUAUUGUUGCAAAAAUCUUUGCUUGUGUUAAUCCCGCAACUAUAUAAAAUGUAAAUUGAGAUCCUGUCACACUCUUAAUCUUGGUUAAAGAAGGAAAACAAUUGCAUAUCAUUUGUUAAAUGAAUCACUCUUAAGGGCCUGUCCCACUUAGGCGACUUUUUAGGCAGGAGACUCUGUGCACGCUUCAUGAUCGCCACAUGGUCGCCACAUGUUCGCUGGUGGUCUCUGGUGAGUCUCCUUCAUGGUCGCGAGGAGUUCCCACA
This is a long non-coding RNA of Leucoraja erinaceus (little skate), 1593 nucleotides long. RefSeq lists it as uncharacterized. The transcript has 3 exons. Lineage: Eukaryota; Metazoa; Chordata; Chondrichthyes; Rajiformes; Rajidae. The record is from RefSeq and is a predicted model, not a curated record.